This 406-nucleotide ribosomal RNA is filed under the name uncultured bacterium. RNAcentral describes it as "bacterial SSU rRNA". It matches the Rfam family "Bacterial small subunit ribosomal RNA", at positions 354 to 777 of the family's 1533-position model. The record is from RNAcentral.
GUGGGGAAUAUUGCACAAUGGGCGAAAGCCUGAUGCAGCGACGCCGCGUGAGUGAAGAAGUAUUUCGGUAUGUAAAGCUCUAUCAGCAGGGAAGAAAAUGACGGUACCUGACUAAGAAGCCCCGGCUAACUACGUGCCAGCAGCCGCGGUAAUACGUAGGGGGCAAGCGUUAUCCGGAUUUACUGGGUGUAAAGGGAGCGUAGACGGCGAAGCAAGCCUGAAGUGAAAACCCAGGGCUCAACCCUGGGACUGCUUUGGAAACUGUUUUGCUAGAGUGUCGGAGAGGUAAGUGGAAUUCCUAGUGUAGCGGUGAAAUGCGUAGAUAUUAGGAGGAACACCAGUGGCGAAGGCGGCUUACUGGACGAUAACUGACGUUGAGGCUCGAAAGCGUGGGGAGCAAACAGGA